This 617-nucleotide ribosomal RNA is filed under the name Vepris viridis. RNAcentral's name for it is "eukaryotic LSU rRNA". The stretch from base 214 to 370 matches the Rfam family "5.8S ribosomal RNA". The record is from RNAcentral. Lineage: Eukaryota; Viridiplantae; Streptophyta; Magnoliopsida; Sapindales; Rutaceae.
AACGACCCGUGAACUCGUACAAACACCUGGGGGGGCGUCCAUAGGGCGCUCCUUCCCACUUGCCCUUGGGGCGGGACUUGUCCGGCUCCUUGCGGCAAACAACAAACCCCCGGCGCGGAAAGCGCCAAGGAAUCAUAACGAGAGAGCACGGUCCUGAGGCCCCGGACUCGGUGUGCCUUAGGAUGCGGCGUCUUCUUUCACAUUAUCCAUAACGACUCUCGGCAACGGAUAUCUCGGCUCUCGCAUCGAUGAAGAACGUAGCGAAAUGCGAUACUUGGUGUGAAUUGCAGAAUCCCGUGAACCAUCGAGUCUUUGAACGCAAGUUGCGCCCCCAAGCCAUUAGGCCGAGGGCACGUCUGCCUGGGUGUCACACAUCAUUGCCCCAUCCCACCCCCUCGGGGGCCUGGUGGUGCGGGCGGACAAUGGCCUCCCGUGUGCUCUUGCUCGCGGUUGGCCCAAAUUCGAGUCCUCGGCGACCGGUGCCACGAUGAUCGGUGGUGGAAACAAACCUCUCGAGCUAUUGUCGUGCGCCUGUGUCUCCGGAUCGGGACUAAAGGACCCUGAUGCUCUGUGCUAGCAUUGCGACCCCAGGUCAGGCGGGAUUACCCGCUGAGUUU